GGCAGCAGCGGCUUCGGAUCGAAGAGCAGCGGCGGCAGCGGCUUCGAGUCCGUGACGAAGAUAAGUGACCACGACCUAAUGAGUGCAAAGGGCGCCACCAUCACUGCCAAAAAGGAGGAGUCUCCAGAGAAGGUGCAACAUAAGAAGCAGACGGUGAUCAUCACCCAGACCAUCAUCGAUGGCCACAUCGUUGAGGAGAGCCAGGAGAUCGCCGAGACCAAAUUCGUCGACUGAGGCCACGUGCCGUGACGUGACGACCGCCUCCACGCAUGCCGUGACGUCGCUUCCUGUCGCGACGUCACUUCCCCUCGUGACGUCGUCACCUCCCCCACGCCCCCGCCCUCCCCGCGCCGUGACGUCGUCGCGGAUUCUGCUGUCGGUUGUCGCCAUCCGCCUGUGCUCUGUGCCUUGGGGUCGCUUGCACACUCACACACAUACACAUACAUACACAUACACACAUACAUACACACACAUACACACUCACACACACACACACACAGACACACAUACACA
Petromyzon marinus (sea lamprey) is the source of this 513-nucleotide non-coding RNA. The record is from RefSeq and is a predicted model, not a curated record. NCBI's taxonomy places the organism in Eukaryota, Metazoa, Chordata, Hyperoartia, Petromyzontiformes, Petromyzontidae.